This 365-nucleotide ribosomal RNA is filed under the name uncultured bacterium. RNAcentral describes it as "bacterial SSU rRNA". It matches the Rfam family "Bacterial small subunit ribosomal RNA", at positions 28 to 385 of the family's 1533-position model. The record is from RNAcentral.
GAUGAACGCUAGCGGCAGGCUUAACACAUGCAAGUCGAGGGGCAGCAUAAUGGAUAGCAAUAUCUAUGGUGGCGACCGGCGCACGGGUGCGUAACGCGUAUGCAACCUACCUUUAACAGGGGGAUAACAUUGAGAAAUUGGUACUAAUACCCCAUAAUAUCAUAGAAGGCAUCUUUUAUGGUUGAAAAUUCCGAUGGUUAGAGAUGGGCAUGCGUUGUAUUAGCUAGUUGGUGAGGUAACGGCUCACCAAGGCGACGAUACAUAGGGGGACUGAGAGGUUAACCCCCCACACUUGGAACUGAGACACGGUCCAAACUCCUACGGGAGGCAGCAGUGAGGAAUAUUGGUCAAUGGACGAGAGUCUG